RNAcentral lists this ribosomal RNA (19 nucleotides) under Xenophallus umbratilis. RNAcentral describes it as "partial 16S ribosomal RNA". The record is from RNAcentral. Lineage: Eukaryota; Metazoa; Chordata; Actinopteri; Cyprinodontiformes; Poeciliidae.
GACCCAACAGCUAGCCCCA